CAAGCUCAAGGACUGACAGGAAGAUAUCACAACACAACUUUACAUACAAAUAAAACAUACAAGCUUCAUAUUACAAGCCAGGGGCCUCGAGGGCUAGAAUACAGAAGAUCGAUAAACACACGAGUCAGCAGAAGCAAGAAAUAUCUGAGUACACACAUAAAACAGGAGGCGCCUUAGAGAAGGCUAGCCCAAAAGAUACAACGAUCGAAUUAGGCGAGGCCUCCUGCCUGGGAGCCUCCUAACUACUCCUGGUCUUCAGCGGCCUCCACGUAGUAGUAGGCACCGUCAGGGUAGUAGUCAUCGACGGCGGGAUACGCCAUCUCCAGGGCUCCAUCAUCUAGUUGCACCAACGGAUCAAGGGGAAAAGGGGGUCCAAAGCAACGGUUAGUACUCAUCCAAAGUUCUCGCAGUACUGACAUAAGAACUAUGCUAAGUAUGGAUCAACAUCAAAGGAAGGGGAAUAUAUGUGGACUAACUACAGCAAUGCAAGAAUAGUGAGUGAAGGCCUAGUCCUAUCAAAGACUAGCAUCUUUAGGGGUCUUGCAGCAAUAGACGAGAGUAGAACAGGUAGCACAAUUAAUAGUCAUAUUGUUGCAGCAAUAUUAAUUAAAGUCACGCCCAGAGAUCCUUCCUCGACUCCCUACGAGGAAGAAAUCCUGGAGCAACAUUCCAGUUAAGUAACAGUUGUAGUUGUACAAGAUCGGGGCACAACUCCAAGUUGUCCUGUAACCGUGGACACGGCUAUCCAAAUAGUUAAUUUUCAUCCCUGUAGUAGUGCACCAAGUUUCCCGUCACGCUCGAUAAACUCUUGCCGGACACACUUUCCUCGGUAAUACCCUGCCUCAGAACAUCGACACGUCGCAACCCCACCUAGACUCAUCAGAGAGGCCAGCCCGUCGGUCUUAAUCCUAAGCGUGAAGGGUUCAUGGGCCCAUCACCCAUUGCGCUCCUGCACAUUGCGUGGGCGGCCGAUGUCAGUCCUCGCACCUAUUAUACAAGAACAGUGAUAAUCCAGACCACUCGAGCGCGCGCCGCUACAUUGCUGAUGUUUGAAGAGCUUCGGCUGAUACCACGACGUCGAGUACCCAUAACUUCUCCCGCGUAGUCGGUUAGUGCGAAAAGGUCUCCGACCAACCCAGAUAAAAUACCCAAAUCCAUUAACAUUUUAAUUAACUCAUCGACACAUCCAUGUAGGAAUCCACCCGCCUAACAUUUAUUCGUCAAUGUUCCGAGUAACAUGGUCAAGUAACUGUGUGGUUGUAAUAUCAAGGGGAUCCGAGGUAUCACCCUCGUUGGAUUCCGAAUGAUGUAAUCGUCAAGGUGGACUUAGAGGAAGCACCCUCGAGGGUGUCACACUUGAGGGGUUGCACGAUAGAGUCAUCCUCGGGAAUGGUGAAGGAGGAAUCACCCUCGAUAACCAUGACCGACUAGCUGCACUCUAGAGAUAACAUCAUGAGUAAUUCGCGAGGUGUCACCCUUGGUACCCCAUAGUAGUUGUACAUCGUCGUAUAACUAAGGGGGGGGGGUGACUGCUGUGUCUGGUCUUGGCUCGUCGAUCAGUGAUCGAGACUUGACGAUAAAGCGGGGGUAACUCAACUAAGGGGGCAAAGGGGAUGACUGCUCCACCUAUACUAAACAGUUUUGAUUGUGGUAUAGUAAAGUAGAAGUUCACGAAAAAACAGGCUCUGUAUCAAAAUAGGAUCUAUCUACAACAGUAGAAAAAUUCUAAUGCAAGCAUGAGGGAGAAAGAAUAGGCGAUAUAGGGAUGAUCAUGGAGGGUUUUCUUGCCUUUUCGCUCUGCGGCAAAUGGCUGAUGGUCAGGAGGAUAGUCGUACCCGACAGCAGCGUCAGUCUUGGGGUCUACCGGUAUGAAGAGGGGGGAAGAAACAAUAAAUAUAAACACAGAUGCAAUCACUAAGCAUGACAUGUCAAUAUGCAGGUCUAGGCAUGAGCUAACGCAGUAACAUCCCUCAUAGACGGAUCGGGAAAAUAUCGGAUGAUAUUUCCCGGGUCUCUGGCAACUGCCGGUCACGCGAAACGGAUGAACAAGUUCCAUGUUCGCUAUACUAGGGCCGCGUGACCGACGAACGGAUAGCGUAUCCGGGUUCGUCUUGUUCUGCUGAUCAACUUUAAUGUUUAAAAUAUUUUCAUGUGACUUAUGGUUUAAUUAAUACUAAUUUUUAAAUUUUAUUCAAUAUGCAGAAAUUAAAACAGAUUUAACUUAAUUCAAAAAUUGUAUUUAUGACAUCAUCAUGACAUCAACAGUCAACAGGAUGUGUUGAAUCGUCAAACCGACUCGUGGGGCCGUGCUAUCAUAGACUCAGGGUUAACCAACUUUUAAUUUAAUCUAACCACAAACUAAUUAGCAAGUGGGGGUCCAUGUGUCGUAGACACAUUAGUCUAACUUAUUACGUUUUAACUUAAACAAUUUACUAAAUAAGUAACUCACACGGGUGGCCCACUGUCAUACUCAUUGGGGGUAUAGGACCCACCUGUCAUUGUGUGCUUAGGAUAAAUUAAUUAACAGAAUUAAUUAACAGUCCUAAUUAAUUAACAAAGUGGUUAAUUAAUAUAAUUAACCUUAAUUAAAUUAAUUAACUAAUUCCUUAACUACUUAAUUAAACUAAUUAUCUAAUCAAUUCAUUUACUAAUUAAAUUAUUUUUAUUGCAUAUAUAUAUAUAUUUUUAAACGUUUUAGGGGGGCAGUGGCCCCGAUGUCAUUCUCACGGGGGGAAAAUGGCCCCCAAAUUAACUACAACCGGGGGGCUAUUCCCCUAAACCUAAAGUGGUGGCCAUUGCCAGGACUGGCUCUGGCCGGAGCUACCCGACCCUGACCGUGGACGGAGCAGGGAGGUGGCUGGCCGGAGCGCGCGGGGGAGGCCGCUGGCGGCAGGGCCACGAGAUGGGGCUGCUAGAGCAGGGCGGUGGCUGGCCAAGGCGAAGCGGUUGCAAGUGCGCGAGCAGCUGCGGGGGAGCAACCAGGGGUGCAGGGUGGCGCGUCAGCUUGCAGCAGCACCAGGGGCGCGACCACGCUCGCCCACAUGCGCGAGGGGGGAAAUGUAGCUGGCAUGGGCUAGAGGGGAAAACGGCGGCUGGAGGCGCAUGGAGCCGUGGUGGUGCUCGGGCCUGGGUCGCCGGAGUGGUGGCCGAAGUGGAGGGAGAGGAGGGUGGCUGAUGGUGGACGGAGCCCGGAGGCUCACCACCUUUGUAGAUGAAGACGCAGCUCGAUGUGGAGGUCUAUGGAGGACCGACGUGGUGCAGGAGGGCGGAUCCGGCGCCGUAGUGAGCAGUGUUGGUGACGAAGAGGAGGCGGCUGGCAGAGAGGACGGCCGGCGGGGCAGCGUGAGGCUUCGGCUUCCCCAGCCCCGAUCCACUCUGGAUCGGGAGGGAGAGGGAGAUGGAGAGGAACGUGGGGGGUGGGUUGGUGGUUNNNNNNNNNNNNNNNNNNNNNNNNNNNNNNNNNNNNNNNNNNNNNNNNNNNNNNNNNNNNNNNNNNNNNNNNNNNNNNNNNNNNNNNNNNNNNNNNNNNNNNNNNNNNNNNNNNNNNNNNNNNNNNNNNNNNNNNNNNNNNNAAGCUGGGGGUUAGGGUUUGCAAUGGGUGGUUUUAUACCCCCUGGGUGGGGUGGUCCGGUUGGUGGUUGGGCUGGCUGGGCCAGCCCAACCGGGGGGAAGUUUGCUUUGUUUCUCUUUCUUUUCUUUUUAUUUUAUUUGAUUUAUUUUCAGUUUCUAUUUUAGUUUGAUUUUAAUUUAAUGGAUUUAAACACUUCUAAAAAUGUUGAUUUAUCCACCAAAAUUAACUAUGCAUUAUUUGCCAUAAUAGGAACAUUUUAGAUUCGAUAUUUGAAAACUUUUAUUAUUUUACUUUAUUUUAAAUUUGAAUUUGAAUCAGUUUUGAAAUAAUGAGAGAUUAACAACAUUAAUUGUGGUGACGUGGCAUCAUUAGCAUAGGAUUACCGUAGCUUAAUUAUAGAGAUCACUGUUGCAAAAGCUCAGGAUGUCACAGCUGCGUCCGAGGAGACUUUUGCCCCAAAGGCUUCAUACGGUUGGGGUACCUGGACGGAUCGGACCGAGGAGUCGGGUGGGCAUGCUGAUGGUGGCGGGGAUGAGUGUACUGAUACUAAGGGCAAGGUGGUUGAGAGGGUCGCCGUGUACCAGCUUGGUAGUACACAUAUCCUGGCCGAGCGGGCGACCCGCGAGUAGAGGCUGGUGAUUAGGCGUGAAGAGGAGAAGUAAGUGCUUUUACUCUUUUUGUACCUUUUGCCUUCAAUUUUCUACAAAUAUCUAAUGCGUUGACCUUGUCAUACUGCAGGGGUUGGGAUCACCCCCUUGGAGUCCGCAAGCCGAACACCUUCCUGGGUGUGCUUUGCCCGCAAAAUUUCCCUGGGUUUGUCACGUUGCCCGGUGAGGGUGACGUUCCUACACUAGGGUUUAGCUGGGAGCACUACAAGGCUACCCAGGAAGGACAAGUCGGANNNNNNNNNNNNNNNNNNNNNNNNNNNNNNNNNNNNNNNNNNNNNNNNNNNNNNNNNNNNNNNNNNNNNNNNNNNNNNNNNNNNNNNNNNNNNNNNNNNNNNNNNNNNNNNNNNNNNNNNNNNNNNNNNNNNNNNNNNNNNNNNNNNNNNNNNNNNNNNNAGUACAUGAAGGUAAUUAGGAAGGACAAGUCGGAGUGCCGGAGAAAGUUUCUGAAGAAGGAGCAGUACAUGAAGGUAAUUACCUAUUCUUAGGGCCUUGUACUUAGUUUUCUUGAUUUGAUUCAUAGGCGUAGCGCUCAAAUUUCUCUUUACUAACUUAUAGGUUCCCCUGAUGGAGUGUGGAUAAGAUGGAUUGCUGGGAGCCAUUGGUGGAUGAGUGGUGCACAGGCCAAUGGCGAGCCAUCCACGACAAUGUGAAGGACUGGCGUGCCAAAAUGGUUGAUGUGACACACCAUCAACGUAGCGCCAACUUAUUUCAGUUUAGAGAAAACUAGGUAUGUGGUUUCCUUCAUGAUUCAUGCAAUUCAUUCUUCAUGCUAGCUCGAGCCCUUUACUAAUACUUUGUUAUCUCUUUUAGGCGCAUGACAAUAACACGGAAGUGCCAGAGGUGUACGACCUCUAUGGCAUGGCCCAUACUACCUCCUACAAGAAGGUCAAGGAAUUCUCUGAGUCCGACCUCGAUCAUCCAGAGAAGUUCACCAACAUCUCCUCCCACAACAAGCUCGUGAGAUACAAGGAGGAGGGGAAGGCGAGGAAGGGGAGGACUUUAACCCGAGCCAGGAACCUUGGGAUCCAGAGCCGGUGACGAUAUUUGGUGGUGGGAAGCCCCAUAGCGUGAUAUUCGUUGGAGAUUGGCCGAUCCGUUGUCCCUCAUGAUCCCGGAGAUCAAGGAACGCCAGACGAGCUCCUGUCCUCAGAUGAGGCCUCGUCCAUGGCCAGUCGAUCUCGCCAACGAGUUUAGUUAUACUGACUCAGAAAACUUUCGUCCAUUACAUUUUGUGUGUGAACAUCGAUGAUUAUUACGCUAAUGAGGAGUGGUGUUGCAGGAUACUCUUCACAGAGAGAUAGAUAGAUAGAGAGAGAGAGAGAGCGACAACCCAGCCUACUAUUUUGGAGUAUCUACAUGAGAGGGACUGGGUGGCGGCGGAGAGGGACCGAGUGGAGACGGAGACGGCUCGGGCCGCGGAGGAGAAGAUGGCUCAGAUGUUGGACGAGGAGAGGGCACAGAAUGAGGCGACUCACCAGGCCAUGUACGAGAUCCUUGUGUUAAGUUGCUUUUUCACAUUAGCCAAAUCAUGCAUGUAAUGUUUGUUCAUUACUAACUAAUAUGACUGACUCUUCAAAACCAAAUAUGCAGUCUAUGUGCGAGAAGACAAGUAAGACCGGCGAGACAUUUCUGUGGUUGGAAUAGUGAGUUUCAUUUGAAUGGUCAUUAGUUACCAAUAUUGACAUUUGAGUGUCAUCAUACUAACAAGACAUUGCAAAAUAUCUUUGGUGUAGAAUAAUUCCCAAGCCGCAUCGCACAACCCUUCUCCACGGCAACAUUCUCCAGGUGAACCCACCUCGAUCAACCCCGGUGAUUCACAUCCUUGAUGACAACGAUGGUACAUUUUCUCUAGUGUUCUGCUUAACACAUGCAUAAUUAGCUUCGUACAUUCUAGUUAGCCCUAUUUUGCAUCAUACUUAUCUUAUUUUCCCCAAGAAAGGCAUACUUAGCUAAUUAUCCUCCAAAAUGACAAACUAGUUUAUUUAGGCCAUUUAUGACAUAAUUAGCCUAGUUAGGUCAAAAAUAGCAUCAAACCUUGGUUAGCUCAUAAAUGCCAUAUACCUAGCUUAUGUUCCUCCUGAAUGACAUAAUGAGCUCAAAAUAAGACAAGUCUUGUAAUCAUCUUCUCCUUCAUCUUCUCCUUCAUCUUCUCCUUCUUCUUCUUGUCCUUCUUCUUCUUCUUCUUCUUCUUCUUCUUCUACUUCUUCUUCUCAUUCUCCUUCUUCUUCUUGUUCUCCUCCUCCUUCUUCUCCUCCUCCUCCUUUUUAUUCUUCUCCUUCUCCUUCUCCUUCUUCUUCUUUUUCUUCUUCUUCAUCUCCUUCGUCUUCUCCUUCUCCUUCUUCUUCUUCUUCUUCUCCUCCUCCUUCUUUUUAUCCUUCCCCUCCUUUUUAUUCUUCUUCUUCUCCUUCUUCCUUUUCUCCUUCUUCUUCUUCUUCUUCUUCUUCUUCUUCUUUUUCACCGUCUUCUUCUCCUUCUUCUUCUUCUUCUUCUCCUUCUUCUUCUUCUUCUUCUUCUUAGCUAGUAUACUCCAAAAUGACAUAAUUAGCUUAUUUAGUUCAUUUAUGACAUAAUUAGCCUAUUUAGUUCAUUUAUGACAUAGUUACCUUAGUCAGGUGAAAAAUAGCAUAAGAACCUUGGUUACCUCACAAAUGUCAUAUACUUAGCUUAUGUUCCUCCAAAAUGACAUAAUAAGCUCAAAAAUGGCAUAAAAUGAAAAAUAAAGAAUAAAAGAGGAAAGAGGAGAAAAAGAAAGAAUAUAAGAACAAGAAUGAGCUUCUUCCUUCUUUGUUCCUAUUAUUUUCCUUCUUUUUCUACUUCUUCUUCCUCUUCUUCUUCUAGUCUUCUUCUUCUUCUUCUUCUUCUUCUUCUUCUCCUAACUUUCUUAUUCCCAUUUUGUAGAUUUGGUUCACUUCAUAGAAGGUGGCAUUGAUGGGCAGCUAUUGUUUUAUUUUUGUUUCAAUUUUUAUGGAUGAACAGUGUGAUGUUUCAAACUAUGUGUAUAUAUGGAUGAACUAUGGGAAAACAUUUGUUGUCUUGCUCAAUAUUUUCACGAUGAUGUUGGAAACAUGGCCUAUGCUUCUUCUGUGAUGUCUGAAUCUACAUGUGAUGUUUGCAAUUAUAUACUCCCUCCGUCCCAAAAUAAUUAUCUCAACUUUGUACUAGCUCUAGUAGAAAAUUAUACUAAGCUUGAGACACUUAUUUUGGGAUGGAGGGAGUAUAUCAUAGAAGUAAUCUGAAAAUGCAGGGAAAUAACUGAAAAUAAACCAAAAGUGACAAUACAGACAUUUUGUCGUGUGCCAGCGGACGGCAAAGGCCUUUGCCGUCUUCUAGCUGAUGGCAAAGGUGCCACGUGGCACACACCUGUGCAACCUCAGGGUAGCAUAGCUGACCUAUAUGGUCACUUUUCCAUCAGCAGGUGAUCCUGGCUGACUGCAAAGGCCCCCAAGGCAGACGACAAAGGGCCUAGGCGGCAAAGCCCCCCCAUCAACAUACGGCAAAGGCCGCCCCCCUAAGGCCGAUGACAAAGACCCCACCGGUAGACAACAAAGACCUGCCCGAGGCAGACCGCAAAGCCCCUCGCAAGGAAGAUGGCAAAGAACCCCCACCGGUAGACAACAAAGACUCCCAACAGACGACAAAUGCUCCGUUAGCUAUCUAACACAGUAGGUUCCUAUUGGCUGCCGUCUAGCUCCUUUUGCCGUUUGCUGGUCAUGACACACAUAUGGCAAGGUUCUUUGUCGUCCGCUAAAAGCCGACACAUGGCAAAGAAGGUAUUUCCCAACGCUAGCUAUGGCAAAAAACUUGUCGUACGCCGGUGGGUGGCAAAGGUCUUUGUCGUUCGUGGAAUGGUCCUUUACCGUCCGCUAUGGAAGAUAGCAAAGAAGUUGAUUCCUGUAGAGACAAGUAUACUCCUUUAUUGGAUCAUCAUAUUACCAUCGUGCUCAAUGGAAUCAAGUCAGCUUAUCUCGGGGCUACUGGUUCCCAGAUUGUUUGGCAGUAAUGGCAUUGUCUUCUACAAUCUUAUGCUCGGCUUUUCUAUUGAUCAUAGGUCACUUGGGGGCUUCCAACUAAUCAAGUUUAGCUUUCUCACCCUCUUGAUCUGGCAAAGAUGCCAGAAAAUUGUUAAACCUGCCUGUAUGUUUGAUGCCACUCCGAUCAAGUGACUCCAUGUACUCUUGACUAUUAAAUGCAUUAUGGACCCUGAAUCAACAAGGUUAAAACAUUGGUUUGUCACAUUAGAGUCGGCAUACUAAAAUCAAGGAUAAACCAUGGGUUAUCAUACCCGCUUCAGUGAAGCAGGACUUGCCACGAAAGUCAGUCUAUUUUUACCGUGUCUCACGGAGUCGGAUUGUUAUUGCUUUAUAUUAUCAUCACUUGAUCUUUUCAGGUACAAGUACUAUUUUUACCAGCUCAUCGUGAAUGACCGGGUCAUAAAGGCUGCAGUCAUAUCAUGACCAGUUCAAUCACACAUCAUCCUCCAUUGCAUCAUGCAUUAUACAUACAUAUCAUGCCGGUCUUCAAACCGGGUUACAAUAUAAACUUUUCCAGGAGCAAAUAAGUCUUUUGGAGCCCAAACGGGCCGGAUUUUCAGCAUUGUUUAUCAUAACUAGAGUUAAAUGAUUGGGUUUUUUCAAUUCUGUCACACCCUGUUUUCACCUCACUUUCACUUUAGUUCAAAAAUCUGAGUUUAUUUUUUUUUCAAAAACCAAUGCAUUGAGUGCCAUGAUUUUCAUUGUAUGCUUGUAUGCUUGAUUGAGUGGUAUCAAAAACCAUAUUUUUCAUCAUAUAAAUAUUUCCAAGAAUCCUUUUUCUUAUUUCUGACUAUUUCAAAGCCUGCUUUGGGUUGCACUGCAAGUCCUUGGUAGCAAGGGAGUGCUUUCACCCAAAGAUGGUGAUAUGGUUAUAAAACUAUUUUUACUCUUCAAAACCAUAAAAUAAUAUUUUUAUAAAUUAUUUUCCUAUUUUAUUUGCAUGUCCUUUUUUGAGGCCAGGAAUGAUAUUCCUAUAUGGAAAAUUAUUUUUCUGCCUUACAAAAAUCUGAGAAAAUUUGGAGAUACUCACAGGACAUAUAUUUUCCAUACAUAAGAUUUUCAACCCCUAUUUAUAUUCAAAAUAUUUGAGAAAGGCUCUGAAAACUUAUUAUGUUUGUUUUGAUCUUUUGGAAUAUUUCCAUAGGAAAUAUUCCCAAUAAAAUCCUAAAAAAUUCUAGGAACCUUCCCUAGCUAUAUUUAGUGGCCAUAUCAAGUUUCACCUCAUUCCAAGGUGAUUUGGUCCACUAAAUAAUCCAAAACCCCUUUGUGUCCAGAUCCAAGUUGAAACAUCUCUACAUUGCAAAGUUUAUCCUAAUGGGUUGACACUUUGCAGGAGUGUUCAACACCCCAAAUGAGGAGUCUCUGCCGAAGAUGGGAUUUGCAGGAGGUAAUCUACCCACAUUACCUUUGUAAGGGACAUAUCUCCCAUUUGGGGGAUGAUUUCUAGUUUGCAUUGCCAAACUUAUUCAAUGAGGAUCAAAUUUGGUGAAGUAUCUUAUUUCUUCAUCAAAUUUAAUCUUGUUAACUCUCACCACCAGUGGUGAGGUGUUUCUAUCUCAAACACCUGUCGAACACCUUGUUCCAUAUUAGCAAAUUGGCCCCUACCCCACUCCACACUUUAGCUCGUCCCUCCAAACUCUUUGACCAAGCAGCCAGAACCACUCCCCAACAGCAGGAGAGUGGCCCCUCUUUGAAUCCAAGUAGAAGGCCCCAAAAUCCUCAGUCUAAAUUCUAGUCAAGCACUGGCAUCUCCUCUUUCCACUCCUCCCAUGGGUAACAGUAAGCCCCUCGGCUCCCAAACGGCUAGGCAUCUUUAGGCCAAGCCCUAGGAUAGCCCAGACAAGGCCACAGCGUCCUAGAGCGCGCAAGCAUGCCGUGGCAUGCCAAAACUGCGCUCUGGGCACGCUGAUGGGUGCACCCGAAGCUAGGUGGCCAGCCCCGGCCGGUCCGAGCCUCACCCUGUUGCCAUUUCGAGUCCCCGACUGUCGCUCUGUAUCUGGGAAGGCCCAUGGCCCCUCCUCCCUCGCACUGUCGACCGGAGCGACAUGUGCCCAUGCACAACAGGUCCAACCAGAAGACCAUGGCCAUGCGUGCACACCCUCCUCGCUCUCUUUCUCCCUCAUAGUGGGUCACACAUGUCCUAAACCAUGUCCGCAUACCACGGUUUCGACCCCGUGCCGUCACUACCUCUCCUGCGAGCUGUAGUGAAACCACCGGCGCCACCGGUUUGGUACACCGUCGGGAGCCUAUAAAUAGGGCCUCCCCUCGCUCCAGCACCUCCAUCCCACCUGUCCGGAGCCUGAAUUCCACCCUAGCCUCUGCAUUUGAGCACAACAAGCUCGUGUGGUCGAGAUCGACCGAGGCCCUGCCGCUUCGGAGCUCCGUCGCUCUCAGGCUACGGGCCAGCUCCGGUGCUCCUUUAACCUUCUCUGUGAUCCUAGCAACCUCCGGGAGCUUCCCCAUCACCUCCCCGAGCUAAUCCACGCCCGUAGCACUUAGUUCAUCGGCCUCCCGAAACUGCUCCGCCGUAGCCUCCUCGUCGCCGGUGAACCAGGGCCUCCCCGUCGACCCCUCGACCACCAGGAGGUGGGCGACGGUGAGAUGGACCCAUUUCUGCCUUUGGUUGGGCUCGAGGCCAUCGGUAGCCUCGUCGGCGUGCCUCCCCUUCUCUCUGUCCCGAGGUGGAAGAGGACCCCGACUGGUGGGGCUCACUUGUUGGUGGCUCCUGUCUCUUCCCCUCUCUCCUCUCUUCUGCUGACCGUAGGGGCUCGCGCGUCAGGUUUGAACCCGGCCACGCGCGCGCCUGGGCGGGCUGGCUGGCUAGCUCGGCCGGCCCAAGCCGCAGGCCAAGCUAGGCCUGAGCCCCAACCUCUUUUCUUUUUGUGCUAAAUCCGUUUUUGAAAGAUUUUUAUAAAAAUAAAUAUUCAAUAUAUUUUAAUUAUUCUUCCACCAUAAUUUUUGUAAAAAUGAGUAGCAUUUAACACAGCCUUUGUGUAAUUUUUGAGACAACUUUCUGGUUUAUAAUAAUUAAAAAGGGUUAGUUGGAAUAGUUUUGCUUCUGUUAAAAUGAUUUUAAAAAUAAUAUUUUCAGUAAAACCAGAGACAAAAAUUUUAAAAAUAACAAUAUGGAUUUAUCAGAAUUAAGCAACAUUUUUCAAAGUGUUUUUGUGAUCUGCUUUUGAGUGAGCUACUUAUUGCUUUUUAUUUACUACGACGAUAGAAACCACAUUUGACGAAGGAGUUGGACUUGUAGAUCUCGAAGACCCCGGAUACUUAGCUGAUCAAGGCAAGCAGCCCUUUGACCAUGUCUGAGCAUAUGUUAUAUUUCAUGCUAGCAAAGCAAAUAUUUAUGUUGCAUAUUAUCAUCAGUAUCGGUAAAUCAUUGAAGUGAUGUUACCGAUGGCUCCUCCGGAGCACUUGCAUUUUUAGCAUGAUCCUACCACCUAUAAGGGUCAUGCUAAUACCAUGUUGACAAGUAGAGCUAAGCAUAGUAGAAACAUGAGCAUCAUGAUGGUGUAAAUCAAAGGUUUAAGAAAACCCCGUCUGGUGCCACUAAUGCUCGAAGGUGAUGAUGAGUUAGGUGGCCACUUUUGGUGAAGUGGUGCACCGGGUAUUUUGGUGUGAGUGGUUUCGGAAAUGGGAUUAGAUUUAUGAUGUGUCGACCGUCCCAACCUUACAUGUUGGACCAUGUUACCCCUUUAUUGGAGGGGGCUUUGUUGAUUACUCUGGUCGGUGCUAGCAAAGAGCCACAUUACUAGUGGCAGGAGUGAUAUGUGGUCACUCUCGUGACGGGGUCGUGCCAGGUGGGGCGACUAUGCCAUUUUUAUGUGUUCGGGGCACACUGUUGGUCCCCGCAUGGAUGGUACUUUCCAGAGUCGGUGCUCGUAAGACGUACAUCAUGUGGGCUGGGUACGAAUCGAGUGGACAUAUUUGUCUAGUAUCAUCAGGGGAAAGGCAUUGAUCGGGCACUUACCUCGGGUAUGUUAUAUACCAUGAGUCGUGGAUGGCACGGAAGUUUCUCGGAUCUCAUGGGUACAAUGUACAACCUCUGCAGAGUGUAGAACUAUUCAAAUAGACAAGUCCAUGGUCAAGGAUAGGGUGGUGCUGCUUAAACUACAUCCAGUCAUUUCCGCAUAAACCAAGUGUGUGUGUGUUUAAUGAAGUUAUGUGAGAAAGAGUUGAUAUGACCAAGUUUGGUGACUUGGCAUAUCGGGUAAACCUGGAGUGUUCAGCCCCCAAUAGAUAUAUUGAUAUUUGUAACAUGUUCUUCUAAAUACCAUCUAGCUUAUGUUGCACAUCCAUGAUCAUGUUUAUUUACUGUUAAGUUGCUAUCCACCAAAACUGCAUAUUACUUGUUAUUCUACCAAUUGCAUCGUUCAUAUCAUGGGCUGUUUGCGAGUACAUUCAAAGUACUCAUUGGUUUGCCACUGGUUAUAUUAUUGACCAGACAUGGAAGAAACGGAGUUUGGAGAAGAGUACGUCAUCGGAGACGGCCCUGCGAUCUAGGACGCUUUCUAGUCAAAUUGCUUGUUGGUGUAGGCUGAUGGCAUGGGCACCCGCAUAGCCCCGAGAUUUCCGCUAUUAGUUGUUUCAGUGUGAUUUGGCCUUAUAGGCCCUACCUCGUGAACUUGACCUUAAUGGUCAUGUGUUGUAAUAUUUCGGUACUUGUAUGUAAGACUCUUAUUAUUCAGCAUCUGUGUGUUCGGUGAGCAUUGAUCUGUGGGAUCACUAGGCACGUUCAUUCGGCGAUCUCGACUCGUAAGUCGGGGUCCCCACAGAGCUGGUAUUACGGCCAUCCUGACUGUAGGAAGCCUUAGAUAGCAUGGACAAUAGCCGAGACGAUUAGUGCACUUAGCCCUUACACUUGAGAUUUCUUGCACCCACCAAAAAUUUCUAACCCUCUCCUACAACCUUGUGCCUUAGAUGCUUCUGGAGACAGGCUUUCCCCUACUUUUAGGAGAUAACCUCGAGAAGUGUCAAGUACGCCGCACGCCCAUUUUUCUCUACCACGAGCACUGGGCCAACGCUGACACCAAGGAAUAUCACAUGGACGUGAUAGUGAAGUCUAAGGACUCCCCAACUAGUUAGUUCUUCGAAGGACCACACAUGGAGAAUAUGAUGUUGGUAGUAGAGACAGCCGCAUGAGAGACGCUCGUGCGUCUCCACGACAUCCUUCCCGAGAUGCCUAACGAGCCAGCUACUCUUCACCUGCCUUUUAUGAAGGACGGGAUUGAUGGGAGUUGGACACUCAACCUAUCUUCAGAGGACGGGACACCAUUAAGGUUUCAGACCUACUUCAGCCUCUCCGCCGACACCUUGACUCACUUUUUGAUCAAGGAGUUGAUGGUGCUUCGCCAAGAGCUGCAGCAAGUCAAGGACCUACUUCGCCUGCAAAAUAUGAAGACCACCAAGGUCAAGAAGGAAGGAGCACCCGGAGGGCAGUCAGCCAUUGUCUUGCGAGGAGGAAUACCACCGCUCCAGGCCACUCCUAUUCAGAGUCGCCGUUUACCGCGGAAGAGUAGACUGAGCGCCUCACCACUUCACAGACUAAGAGACACCAUGAUGAACCACUUCCAUCUCCCACACCUCCGAAGGAGGAAAGUACCGAUGAGGAUGAAGACGAAGACCCUGAAGAGCCUGCCUACGAGACCGAAUAGUCCGCCGCUUAGAACUACGACUUAGGAAAUUAGGAGUCUUCCCCAAGCAUAGUUGAGUCCAUGUAUCGGUUCGUGUGAACCAUGAGUGUUGUGUAAACAGGUAUGAUGCAAGCCGCAUUUCUACCUUAGGCAUCUUGUAAGUGACUACAUCCCUUGUUUCAAUUUAAUGCAUUAGAUUUUCCAAAAACCUUUGUUUAAAACUAUCACACUAGCACAACACCAAACCCCCUUAUUUAGAGCAUCAUCCCUUUUGAUUCCCAUCCAAUUCGGCAUGUGGACCUGUCUACUCCCCUCACAGGAUGGUGAUUUCAACCCGCACCAGCACCUUCGGCAACCCUGGCUCUGCCUCCUCUGGCCAGCAGCAGGGAACCUGUCGUGGUUUUGUCACGGCAGAUGUCCUUGUGAAAGGACUUAUUGUUGGAGCCAUCGCACCUUGGUGGCGACUCAAAAGGGUUGAACAGGAGUGAGACAAAGAUUUCCCCACGUUCGGCCCCUCGUGAGGAGGUAAAAGCCUACGUCNNNNNNNNNNNNNNNNNNNNNNNNNNNNNNNNNNNNNNNNNNNNNNNNNNNNNNNNNNNNNNNNNNNNNNNNNNNNNNNNNNNNNNNNNNNNNNNNNNNNNNNNNNNNNNNNNNNNNNNNNNNNNNNNNNNNNNNNNNNNNNNNNNNNNNNNNNNNNNNNNNNNNNNNNNNNNNNNNNNNNNNNNNNNNNNNNNNNNNNNNNNNNNNNNNNNNNNNNNNNNNNNNNNNNNNNNNNNNNNNNNNNNNNNNNNNNNNNNNNNNNNNNNNNNNNNNNNNNNNNNNNNNNNNNNNNNNNNNNNNNNNNNUCUCUAAGUCGCAAUCUUUCCAAGGCUCGGAGAUCUUCUCUACUAUGGACUCCUCCGAAGGUCCUGAACCGCCAUACGACUUCCGGCCUCACUGGGCCAAGGCCUGAACCACUUGGAGAUGAGUCGCCAGCUUUUGUGACCCGACCCAACUAGGGCGGGUUACCCAACAGAUAAUAUCCCCAACAUUAGGCCCCAGAUUGACUUGAAUUUCUUUCACGCCAAUAUCUUCACUCAGUUAGGGGCGAUUCAUCUCACUCUUCUUAUGCAUCAUAUACUUAAACCUACAUCUGGUGCGGAAAAACUCAAGUCGCCAAACCACUUCUUGUUGGCGCCUUCUUAUCCCUUGUAUCUCGGAAGAGAUGCUGACGUAAUCUCCAACGGAUCCUUCGGUAUUGCUAUCCUGAAAAUUUUGGGGCGCCAUCAUGGCAAAUCUUUAUCUCUUGGCAGUUCCCGCUCGUGGCGCCUCGAUCCUAGCGCCCGACCUGAUAAAUAGGCGGGAGGAAAGGACAUGGCACAUUUCACCUACCCAUCUUGUCGCCCUUCUCUUCCUCGCCGUCGCACCGAGAGCCUCAUCCCCAACCGAGAGCUCCGCCGCCAACCGAAGACUUCAACGUCGUCCGAAAGCUUCGAUGCCGCCCGAAAACUUCGUCGCCGCCGAGCACCUCGUCGUGGCUGAGCAUUUCGUCGCCGUCGGGCACCUCGCCGGCGUCGAGCACCUCGUCGCCGCCCGAGAUCUUCAUCACCGUCCGAGAUCUUCGCCGCCGUCCAGAAGCUGCUGAACACGCAACGCUCGCGGCGAAUCCUUCUUCGGACGCCCCCAGCCGCAUUUUUUCCAGGUCUGCAUCCCGCAAUUGAAGGUAGAUCUAAGUUUCUUGAGGUUCAUGCCCACUGUAUUUUUGGAACAUCUCGAAUGGCUUCGUAAUUCCCGACUAGUUGGCGGUGAUGGUAGCGAACACAGCAAUGUUUUCCAUACCUUUAAUUGUUCAGCCUUGAUUUGCAUACAUAGGAAAGAUUUCACCAGAUCAACAGUAUUGUUCCCACCUUAGUCACAUGCCGUUUUAUCCAGACCUUUUCGCAUUCAUUUCUGUUUGUCCAGUAGAUCCAUAAUUUAUCGCUUGUCGAGUGAAACCUGUUUAUAAUUUCAUACUUCACCAUCUUGGCAAACACUACUGAAGCUCUGAAACACCUCUCCUUUAAGUAGUAAGAAUUUCAUAAGUCGCCCUGGCAUCCUGACCCAGACCUUUAUCGGCGGGUCAAAAAACUCCCUCAGCCAUCAGGCAAAUUGUUUGGCGAGUCAAAUGAACUUGUUUCACCAUUUUUAGUAGAUGCUUGGCAUGUGAAUUUACCCGUAAUUUCAUCCCCUUGGUAGCAUGGGCACUGUUUUCAAAAGUGAUUGGCUCCCAACCAAGGUUGACGAUGCUCUCCUUAACAACUAUGUAAAAAUGGGGAAUCUGGACCCUCAAGAAGUUAUCGGUUGGCGUACCAGGUUAAGAGAGGAAAUCCCCAAACCGAAGGAAGGGGUGAUAGUUCUUUUUGUUGAACACCUUGAACGGGGCUUUAAGCCGCCCGGAUCGUAAUUCCUCAAAGAUGCCAUGACCUUUAUGAAUGUCCGCCUCCAGUAUUUAGGGCCCAACUCGAUAAGCAAUUUAUGCCAGUUCCAAGUGUUCUGUGAGGCUUAUUUGCGGAUGGAACCCUCAGUUCCUUUAUUCUGGUACUUCUUCCAUUUGAAUCGCCAAACAUAAUUUUCCAAUGGCCCUAGCUUGAAGCUUGGAGGUGUCAAUGUUCAACGCUGUAGAGAUAGUUCAUUCCCGUCACUCGCCAUGCCAAGCCAUCCCAAAGGCUGGGGCGAGUCUUGGUUUUACUGCCGGGAGACUUCGCGUGAGGGCGAGAACAAGCUUCUCGGUUAUAGGGAAGAUCGCCUUCCAACAAAUUUCAAACUCCCAGAUAAGCUGACCGAAGAAGAGGAGUCAGACUUUAUCCCAGUGCUGUCCGAGUUAAGAUCUUUGACAAACAACGGCCUUACUAGGGUUGACUUGAUCCGCUGCUGGGUUGAAUGGUGUAUCCUCCCCUUAAGUCGCCGGGACGGAUUAAUGUGUGAUUUUGACGGCACCCUGGAUCACCCCCAGUGCUACUUCCACACGGCUUGACAGAGAGUGAUAUUGUAACCAUCAUCAAGAAGUUGACCGGUGAACCUGCGGCAAAAUGCGGCCAAAUAGGUCUUAAGCCGUUCUGCAAGAUCAACCCGACACCAAAUGUAAAUAACUUAACCCGCUACUUGUUUUUAUUCCUUCCGUAUUACUUGGGCUAAGUCCUUUUAUAAAUAAAAAAUACCGUUUCAGAAAGACGACAAAUUCUGGUCCAAGAGGCCAAAAAAGAUGGCCAUGAAGCAAGCUAGGCCGCCCCCAAUCAAGAAGUCCAAGAGCAAAGGCAAAGCCGCCAUCACUGAGCCAUCUGACGCCGAUGAGUCCCAAGUCGGCAACGUACUUUCAGAGGUAAAAAUCCAUCCUCUUUUAACUCGCCAUUCAUUGUUGACAGUUUUGUAUUUACGCCUCUGUAACUCUUAUGUAGAAUGAGGAAAAUGAAAGCCAGGAAGACUCCAUAGAGGUAAUUUCUGUUUCCUCCGACUCAUCUUCUCCUCCACCUAAGCCGGCCAAGCGAAUUUGUGGGAAAGUUCCCUUCUCACACCCAAAUGCUUGUUUGGAUCCAAAUUUCCUUCUCAAGAAAGCGCAACAUGCCUCAAAUCGGAAAACUUGGAGUCAUUCUGGAGACUUGGUGUCCGGGUUACCAACAAGAACCAAGAAAAGGCAAAAUGAGGUAUCUUAUAAUAACACUUCUUCAUGUCCUUUUGGAUCAUGUUUGUAACUUGCUCAUAUCUUUGAAGUAUUAUUUUUGCAGAGUUCUCCUCCCACAUCCGGUGACUCAGUGAUGUCGGCACUUCCACCGAUGAUCCGUGCCCCCGGGUAAGCCUUUGACAACAUUUACCUUUGUUCUGAUGCUGGUAAUAUCUGUUCCUUUAAACGCACCCCCUUCUCCUCUUAGGGCAUUGGCGAAGAAAGGGAAAACUGGCGGGUCAACUCCCAUUGCAGCUUCGGAGCCUAUUGAAAAAUCGGCGCCGAUCCAGGAUAACCCGGACCAAGACAAACCUGAAGAUCAAGUGGAUCUCCCAAGCUCGCCCAAGGAAACCAUGGAAACGCCUAACCCGCCAAGUCCAUUGAAAACAGCAGAAGACCCAGACGAUGUAGUCAUCACCGGUACUCGUUUCUCUAAGCCGGCCAGAACAGUUUUAUCGAAGCAUGUAUCAUCAUCAUCUCAACCUGCUUUUGAGCAUGAACUUUCCAAGGCUAAGCUCUACCAGUAUGAGAAUCUUGAAAUCAAAAAACUUUGCUCUAGCUUUGCAAGUCGCCUGGAGGCGAGUUAUGAGAUGGAAAAAAGUCCGCUUCUUAUGCUAAAGAACAAACAUGAGGUACGUCUUAUUGCAUACUGUAUUAUCCUCAUUAACCCCCAAGGGUCGGGUCAUCAGGAAAAAGAUGAGCCGGGUCUUGAUAGUAGAAGAAAAACAGUCGACCUGUAACCCCCAAGGGCCGGGUCAUCUGUAAAAAGAUGAGCCGGGUCCUGAUAAUAGAAGAAAAACUUUCGACCUAUAACCCCCAAGGGCCGGCUCAUCUGUAAAAAGAUGAGCCGGUUUUUGAUAAUAGAAGAAAAACUUUCAACCUGUAAACCCCAAGGGCCGGGUCAUCUGUAAAAAGAUGAGCCGGGACUUGAUACUGUAUAAUUUGUCUAAAAAAUUAUACAUUAGCCCCCAAGUGUCAGGGAUGUUGCUUGCAAUAAUUCAGAGACUUGCCCCUUGACUAUAUAUUUUGACAGGAAUCACUUACCCAAACUGAAUCAGCAUUUGGCGACUUGAAGAAAAAUUUAACCGAUCAGCAAGAUGCCGGGGUAAAAUCAAUAGACAAGUGUCAACUGAUCUUAUCUGAGAUGGAGAAGCUAAAAGUCGACUUAAAAAAGGCUCAAGCUGAUCAAGAUGCCUUGAUAAAGUGAGUAGAAAAAGCUGAAGCUAAAUUGGAUAAUGUGCAACAAGAGCUGGCCGGCUUAAAGCGACAUAUCUCCAACAUGGCGCAAGCCGUCUUUGGUAAAAACCAACCCUUGACCUUGCACUUUGUAAAUAAAUAGCUUGUAGAAAUUGCUGACCAUCAUUACCUCUUACACAGGUCCGAGAGAUGCCAAUCUUCAGAAUGAUUGUGUCCUGAUGCUGAAGGUGAUUUAUACGUUGACGGAGCAACUGUAUACCGGAAGUGUGCUGAUCGUGAAAGCAGUGAUGGGUGCCAAGGAACCCAUAACAUUAAUAAAGAAGAUGCUUGGCUGCUUAUCUACUCUUCCUCCUCAACUUGGUGAGCUAACUCGGUCUGCCGCCCGAAAAGGAGCACUGACUUCGCUGAGUCAGUGUUUGGCGUAUGCGCCAGAAAUAAACUCGGAAGAAGUAGCGGUGGGCUUCCCCCACCUCAAGGAUGACGGGUCAGAAUUUGCUGAAGAAGAUUACCAGCGUGUUGUCAAAGAAUCCCGUUUGGCGGCUUCUCAGCUUGCUGCAAGCCUGGAUUUAUCAAAAUACCAAGCCGCCUAUGACAACAAGAACAAGAAAGUUAACCCGCCAACCUUUGUAACGACCAGCUUAACUCCGCGUCGACCCAAGAAUCCUUUUGACUUGGAGGUGGAUCUCUCAUCAGUGUUGAACGAUGAAGAUGAGUUCGCCGCGUUAUCCAAGUGUAACUAGGUACUGGGCGACUUGCAAAUUGAAGUCGGCCAGAGCUCGCAGCAGGCUGAUCCGAGGACAUCAGCAGAAUAAAACUUCUUAGAUUUGGCCAUAAGAGCCAUGUAAUAAGUCUUUUUAGAGAUCAAACUGCUUCUGUGAUAUCUUGAAAAACCCUUAUGUCGCCCUUAAGGUGCUUUAAAAUGCUUGACCCGUCGUCGAGGCUUUUUUAUGAUGCUUGACCCGCCAUGGCUAGAAUGAUUUUGAUCAUCAACCUGUUAGGCUUGAAAACACAUAUAUCAAACUAUCUCGGUGAGUAAUGGAUGAUAAUAAACAAUAAUCGACCCAAGAUAUUUGAGGCGAGUCAGAAAAAAGUCUGAAAGACCUUGUGGCAGUGCCACGAAGGUAAAAAAUAGCAAUUUCAUCGGCUCAUCAGGUCGCGACAGGAUAGGACGAGUUAAAUAAACUCAAGUGCUACCCGAGGGAGACUUUUGUAUCAAAAUCUCAAGUAUUUAGACCGGCUGAUCAGGCACGAGUCAAGCUUUAGUGAAGCGGGUUCAAUGAACCAAUGGUUUCUCUAUUUUCCAUGUGAGGCACUAGCCGGUACCAGACAUGUUUUAACCAAGGUGAGUUCGGGGUCCAUGAGCGGAAUAACUCGCUAAGAGAUCACGGGUCCAUAUGGCGAUUCGGCCAACACACUGUCCAGUAUAACCAUUUGUAAUGUGGUAAUUUUUCGCAGGCCAAAUGGGUAGUAAGGUUGAUCUCAGUGAGAGGAAGCCGCCAAGUGACCUAUGAUUAAGGGAAAGACCGUCAUAGGAUUGUAGAAGCGUAUACGCCAUUACCACAAAAUGACUUGAGAACAAACCGCCCUCAAGUAAGUCGGCCUAAUCCACAGAAUCAUAUAAGGCGCCCAUGUUUGAAUCGCGCGCUUGUGGAGACUUCGAUCCUCUUUGGCUUAUCGAUACCCAGUUUUGUAAUAAGCGCAUCAUGGCGACUUAAGCUCUUUGGUAUGGAUGGCGUCCAUGUUUGGUCUACUUGUUGAUGAAUAAAAAUAAAGAUCCAUACCUUUGAAUAAGAUGAAUUAUCAGGAAAGCCCCCAAGCUGGGAGGCGUUAAUUUUAUUGCUUUAUAAGAAAUGAAAAACUUACAAAAUGUAGAGCCAAUAACUCAAGUGUAAUAAGGCCGCAAGUGGGCUAUGUUCCAGGGGCGAGUUGACUCAGCCUCCGUGGUUGGCCAAUCAGACCGUAGAUCCACCAAAUAGUAGGACCCGUUGCGAAGGUUUUUGCUGACGACGAAUGGUCCAUCCCAUGGUGGUGAUAACUUAUGCAUGCUAGUACAAUCUUGUAUCAGUCGAAGCACUAAGUUGCCCUCCUGAAAAGUUCGGCUCUUGACCCGGCGACUGUGAUAACGCCGUAAGUCCUGCUGAUAAAUGGCCGAUCGGGCUGUAGCCAAAUCGCGUGCUUCCUCCAAGCCGUCCAAAGAAUCUUGACGCGCCAACUCGUUGUCCUGUUCCACAUAAGCGGCGACUCUGGGCGAGUCAUGCCUAAUGUCAGUGGGAAGAACGACUUCUGCUCCAUAUACCAGAAAGCAAGGAGUAAAACCCGUAGAACGGUUCGGGGUGGUCCGGAUGCUCCAUAGUACUGAAGGCAACUCCUCAACCCAACACCCCGGGGUACGUUCCAAGGGAACCAUGAGUCGGGGAUUGAUUCCUCGCAAAACUUCCUGAUUCUCCCGCUCUGCUUGUCCAUUAGAUUGCGGGUGAGCUACCGCAGAAACAUCAAGCCAGAUGUGCUCACGAUGGAAAAACUCCUGCAUCGCUCCAUGAGACAGAUUAGUGCCAUUAUCAGUAAUAAUGCUGUGUGGAUGUCCGAACCGGAAGAUCAAUUUUUUCAAGAAUUUGACUGUUGUCUCCACAUCGCAAGCUCCAACAGGUUCUGCUUCAACCCACUUGGUGAACUUAUCAACCGCCACCAGCAGAAGAGUUUUCUUGUUGGAUGACAUCUUAAAGGGGCCAACCAUGUCUAACCCUCAGACCGCGAAAGGCCAAGUGAUGGGUAUCAUUCUUAGUUCUUGAGCCGGCACAUGGGCCUGUCGUCCAUAACGCUCGCAUCCAUCACAUCGACGAACUAUCUCCUCUGUGUCUGCAUGGGCCGUCAGCCAGAAGAAACCAUGACAGAACGCUUUUGAAACCAAGGAGCGUGACCCGGCGUGAUGCCCACAAUCUCCGGAAUGAAUGUCAUUUAGAAUUAUGCACCCUUCUUCGGAGGAAACACAUCUUUGGAAAACCCCGGAAGUGCUUCGUUUAUAUAAUUCGCCAUUGAUGAUCACCAUGGAUUUGCUUCCGAACGAUUUGGCGAGCCAAUACUUCAUCCGUAGGUAACUCACCUCGGGCGAGAUAGGCCAGAUAUGGAAGAAACCAAUCCGGCGUAGCAUGGAGAGCCGCCACGAACUGAGACUCAGGGUCAGGUAUUGCCAACUCCUCCUCCGAGGGCAACCUUACGGAAGGAUUAUGCAGAGUAUCCAGAAAAACAUUGGGAGGAACCGGCUUACGCUGGGAACCGAGACGUGAAAGGGCAUCAGCUGCUUCGUUAAGGCGCCGGUCGAUGUGAUCGACCUGAUAGCCAUGGAAGUGACCCGCCACAUCAGACACAACCCUCCUGUAAGCCGGCAUCAAGGGGUCCCGAGAAUCCCAAGUACCUGAAACUUGCUGAGCCACCUAAUCAGAAUCGCCAAACCAUCUGACCCGCGUAAGGUUCAUCUCCUUGGCGAGUCGCAAGCCAUGAAGUAAAGCUUCGUAUUCCGCAGUGUUGUUGGUACAUGGAAACAUGAGUCGGAGGACAUAGCAGAAUUUGUCUCCUUGACGCAAUAUCAGCACCACGCCAUCCCCCGAGCCUUCCAACUGUCUAGAUCCGUCAAAAUAAAUAGUCGAGUAUGUAAGGUCAGGCCUGUCUUUCGAAAUCUGUAACUCGGUCCAAUCAUUGAUGAAAUCAACCAAGGCCUGAGACUUGAUAGCCGUGCGAGGGGUGUAUCGCACGUGGUGCGGCCCAAGUUCGAUCGCCCACUUGGCGAUUCGCCCUGUCGCCUCCCGAUUCUGGAUGAUGUCCCCGAGGGGAACGGAGCUAACCACCGUGAUGGGAUGCUCUUGGAAAUAAUGUUUGAGCUUCCGACUCGCCAUAAAGACCCCAUAAACUAACUUCUGCCAGUGUGGGUACCGCUGCUUGGAAAGAGUUAGCACCUCACUGAUGAAAUACACCGGGCGCUGCACAGGAUAUUCCUUCCCUUCCUCCUUCCUUUCGACGACCAACACCACACUCACCGCUUUGGAGUUUGCCGCAAUAUAUAAAGCAUGGGCUCUUUCUCAGUCGGGGCGGCCAAGACCGGUGGGUUGACCAGCUGCCGUUUUAAGGCUUCGAAAGCUUCAUUGGCUUCGUCUGUCCAAACAAAAUGGUCAGAUUUCCUAAGAAAUUGAUAAAGGGGAAUAGAUUUUUCACUCAGACGGCUUAUGAAGCGACUUAAGGCCGCAAUACGACCCGCCAUCCGUUGGACUUGAUUAAUAUUCGCUGGUUUCCCAAGGGAAGUAACCGCCUCGAUCUUGUCCGGGUAAGCUUCAAAGCCGCGCUCAGACACCAAAAAACCCAACAAUUUCCCUGCAGGAACACCAAAGACACACUUGGUGGGAUUAAGCUUCAUCUGAUAUUCCCGCAGAUUAUCAAAAGUUUCUUUGAGAUCUCCGAGUAGCAUUUCCUUCCUGGGAGUUUUAACCACAAUGUCAUCAACAUAGGCAUGGACGUUGCGUCCGAUUUGGCCACGGAGGCAAUUUUGGAUGCAGCGCUGAUAAGUCGCCCCUGCACUCUUGAGUCCGAAUGGCAUGGAUACAUAGCAAAAAGCCCCGAAGGUGGUUAUAAAAGCUGUUUUCUCCUGAUCUUCCACGGCCAUCUUGAUUUGGUGAUAUCCGGAAUAAGCGUCUAGGAAGCACAAACGUUCACAUCCCGCCACUGAAUCAAUAAUUUGAUCGAUGCGGGGAAGGGCAAAGGGAUCCUUCGGACAAGCUCUGUUAAGAUCCGUGUAAUCAAUGCACAUACGGAAGGUACCGUUCUUCUUGAGCACCACGACCGGGUUAGCCAACCAUUUGGGGUGGAAGACCUCUACGAUGAAUCCGACGGCCAAGAGACGGGCAACUUCCUCCCAGAUUGCCUUGCGUCGUUCCUCAUUGAACCUACGAAGAUAUUGCUGAAUCGGUUUUGCUUUUGGGUCAACAUUAAGAUGGUGCUCAACGAAUUCUCUUGGCACACCAGGCAUGUCGGAAGGUUUCCAUGCGAAGAUGUCCCGAUUCUCACGGAUGAAUUUCAUGAGCGCGCUUUCCUAUUUGGGGUCCAGACCCGUCCCAAUAGUGAACUGCCUAGUUGAGUCGCCAGGUACGAAAUCCACUGUCUUAGUGUCAUCUGUUCGUUUGAACUUGAGGGGCGGCUCAGCGUCUGUCGUUGGCUUCUUUAAAGGUGACAUAUCAGCCGGAUCAACAUUGGCCUGGUGAUAUUUAAGCUCUUCCGCAGCACGGGCGACUUCUGCAUAAGCCGCAUCCCUUCUCCACACUCUCUUGCAAUCCUCCUAUCACGAUCAACUGUGAUGGGUCCUUUAGGACAAGGCAUCUUGAGUUUAAGGUAAACAUAGCAGGGGCGAGCCAUGAACCGGGCGUAAGCCGGUCGCUCGAACAACGCAUGAUAUGGGCUCUUUAACUUGACCACCUCAAACGUAAGCGACUCACUCCUGUAAUUAGACGCUGUUCCAAACGCAACUGUGAGCCUAACUCGGCCUAUGGGAUACGCCAAUUUACCUGGGACAAUCUCGUGGAAUACCGUGGUUGAGGGCAUCAAAUCUUUCUCCAAUAGGUUCAUCCUUUGGAAGGUGUCGAAGUAUAAUAUGUUGAUGUUGCUGCCACCAUCCAUCAGUACCUUCGACAAAGUAUAUCCUCCAACUUGGGGAGCCACGACCAACGCUAAGUCACCUGGAUUGUCAAUUCUUGGCGGGUGAUCCUCCAUACUCCAUGAUAUAGUCUGCUCGGACCAGUGGAGGUAUCUAGGGAGUGACGGCUCAGAUACACUGUACGCUCGGUGACUCACCUUUUUAUCACGCCUGCAGGCAUUGGUGGUGAAAACGUGGUACUGCCCAUUGCUUAACUGCUUGGGAUUGUAGCGGAAGCCGUCAUUGUUGUCCUGCACCUGCGAAGCCCCCUGUGGGGGUGGUUGUUGAAAAACUCCAGGCGGGUUAUACCGUUGUUGGUGAUGCACCGGAUACUGGCCACUGCUUGGCUGCGAGCCACCCUAAGCCCCAGGUUCGGGGAAGCCGCCGAAGGGGUUCUCGCGUUGAUUAGGUGCGCCAAACUGUUCCUGCCGUUGGUCCGGGUCGCCGCCUUGCCCUUUUUGAUCGCCUCCGCCCGAAACUCCCGCAUCUCGUAACAGUCCUCCCAGGAAUGAGUCACCGGUCCGUCUGACAUGGCGUGGUGCGGGAAGGGGCCCUUGAGUAACUCAUUAUAGUUGCGCGGCUUUUUGCCACUGUCACCGCUAUUCUUUUUCUGGCGCUGGUUGCCAUUAUUGGUGUUGGUGUUGGCGACUAAGUCCGAAGACUCUUCGUGCUGCCUUCUCUUGCUAUUCGCUCCAUGAUUAUGGUGGGCGCGUCCCUGGAACCGGGUAUGAUUUUCGGAUGACUCGCCUUUCCUUGGCGAAUUGGAUUUACCACCAUCCUCUUCGGGAUCUUUGGUGUCGUCCACCUCAGCGUACCUAGUGAGGGUGUCCAUUAGCUCCCCCAUGUCUUGGACCUCUCGCUUGAGUCGCCCCAACUUCUGCACCAAGGGCUCGUAAUGGCAAUUCUGCUCAAGGAUCAGCACAGCCUGAGCCGCCGAAAUACCGUCCGACGAGUGAAUGAUUUCCGCGACCCACCGCGACCAGUGCUGGGCCGACUCAUCCGGGUGUUGAACGCAGUGCUGUAAAUCGACUAUUGUCAUCUGGAGUUUGCAGGUUCCUCGGAAGUUUUUGACGAAACGCUCUUUUAAUUCAGCCCAAGUCUGGAUGGAGUUGGGGUGUAGGUUCUUUAACCAAGUACGCGCCGUCCCUUUGAGAAUCAUUGUGAAGUAUCUAGCGCAGACUGCUUCGCCUACAUCCAGCAUGUCCAUGGCGAUUUCAUAACCCUUGACCCACGACGCCGGCUCAAGGUCCGGAGUGUAGUUAGGCACCUUUCUUGGCCCUUUAAAAUCCUUGGGCAUUCGCUUGUUGUGAAGGGCGGGGGCCAACCACGGCACCCCCACUUGUCUGCCGCUUCCAACAAGAGGCGCUGGGGCGACUUGGGUGUCCUGGUGAUCCCGACCUGGCGCGUCUCGAUGGUCAGGCGAGUUGACCUGGGGAAAGGGUCGCGGUCCGCUGGUUAUAGCCGGCUGGUCCUCUGGCCGACUCCUGGUGCGGCAUGCCUGGGGAGUGGAGUGCAGCCGAUCUAGGCUGUGUGAGAACUGGCCGUUUUGAACCACCGCCGUCUUCAACAUCUCAAUGGCGUUCCUUGCCUCUAUCUUGGCUAGAGUGUUGCCGUGAAUCAGAAGGGAUUCUAAAUGGCGAGUUGCGGCAAGGACGUUGUCCACCGGGUUGGAAAAGUGACCUUGAGGUGUCUGGAAUCGGGGAACGCGAUCCACAGCUGGCUGAAACGGCGCGUUCGGUGGCUGGCCCGGCCCUCCCCCCGGGGCGGCUCCUGCCCCGGGAGUUCGUGGAGUGUCGAACAGGCGGGUCAGGUUGAGAUCAGGGGGCAAACGACCCUGAUGCCUCCGCUAAUGGACGGCGUCAGAUGCGCGCUGAUGCCUUUCGAGCCGCCAGUUUUCGGUAUUCAAGCGAGCUACCUCAGCGGUAAUUUGAGCCUGCCAGGUCUCGAUCCUGGCGGCCUCCACCUCAGCGACGUGCUGAGCCUUCGCCACCCCCUCUCUUAGCUUCGCCAGUUCCUGUUUACCGCCUCCUGGUUUUCCGAUGUUAUGGGGGUCGCCAUGAGCCUUGUUAUUUCCGCUGCUAACUCCACCAAGAUCGUGGCCGGGCUUCUAGACGUUUCGCGAGUUCCAUCUCCGCCUGCCGGGUUUGGCGAGGGUUGAGUCGCCCCUACCAUGUAAACGGCGAUCUGACGGUGAGUCCGGUCAAGAACUUCGGGUCCAUGGCCAGUGACAGGCCCCCAAGGCAAGCCCCGUGUAGAGACUGGAUUGAAUCUGAAUCGCCCAUGGACGAUUCGUCAUCAGUGUUGACCGGCGUGGUUUCCUGGGUCGCUGAGUGUUCUGGUUCCUCAGAUCCCUGCGUGAACCCAACAAAGACCGGACGGGUUAGGUUUGGCGUCACGACAGGGCGGACGUACCUGGCCGGCUCGAAGAUGUCGGAGGAGGUGUCCGGCUUAGGCAUGGGCGAUCCAAUCAUGCCGACGAAGACGCUGAUCUUGCCGAAGGGGACCGUGUAACCGGAUUCGAUCGAAUCGGCCUCGGGCCCCCAUAGCAAGUUGUUGAUGUAGUACUUCCCGCGGUGGCUCCGAGUCAUGAGCCCCGCUGCGUAGCUCCCAGACCCUGGUAGGGCUGUCUUUGAGAACUCAAGUCCACCGUCCGCAGGCCCCACGGUGGGCGCCAACUGUCGUGGUUUUGUCACGGCAGAUGUCCUCGUGAAAGGACUUAGUGUUGGAAUCAUCGCACCUUGGUGGCGACUCAAAGGGGUUGAACGGGAGUGAGACAGAUAUUUACCCAGGUUAGGCCCCUCGUGAGGAGGUAAAAGCCUANNNNNNNNNNNNNNNNNNNNNNNNNNNNNNNNNNNNNNNNNNNNNNNNNNNNNNNNNNNNNNNNNNNNNNNNNNNNNNNNNNNNNNNNNNNNNNNNNNNNNNNNNNNNNNNNNNNNNNNNNNNNNNNNNNNNNNNNNNNNNNNNNNNNNNNNNNNNNNNNNNNNNNNNNNNNNNNNNNNNNNNNNNNNNNNNNNNNNNNNNNNNNNNNNNNNNNNNNNNNNNNNNNNNNNNNNNNNNNNNNNNNNNNNNNNNNNNNNNNNNNNNNNNNNNNNNNNNNNNNNNNNNNNNNNCUUCCGAUCUCUAAGUCGCCAUCUUUCCAAGACUCAGAGAUCUUCUCUACUAUGGACUCCUCCCGAAGGUCCUCAACCGCCAUACGACUUCCGGCCUCACUGGGCCAAGGCCUGAACCACUUGGAGAUGAGUCGCCAGCUUUGGUGACCCGGCCCAACUAGGGCGGGUUACCCAACAGAUAAUAUCCCCAACAAAACCGGUGGAAAUUCUCAACCUGGCGAUCACCACGAGCAGCAGCAAGGCCAUAUUCCUCCGCCACUGCUUCCUCCAGAGAGCCUGACUGUGGCUUAGUUCCUCCAAGCUCUCCGAGAGGAACGUCAGGCCAACAAUGCCGCCAUCCACCAGCUGGCUCAAGUCUUGGUGAAUAAUCCGCCGCAAAACGGGAAUGGCAACGGUCGCUCUACUCUCUCUGAGUUCAUGCGAAUUACGCCUUCUAUAUUCACGGAGAUAACUGAACCGUUGGAUGCCGAUGACUGUAUCCAUACUAUCGAAGACCUCCUCGCAUUGGUCAAGUGCACCGAUGAUCGCGAGAAAGUCCUUUAUGCUUCUCACUAUCUCGGAGGCACAGCCAGAGCUUGGUGGGAGGGGUUCCAGAUCAUGUGAGAAGGGCAAGCUAUCACUUGGGAAGUAUUCAAGGAAGGAUUCCGCGCUGCUCACAUUCCUCCCGGAAUGAUGACCAUUAAGAAGCGGGAAUUCCAAGCUUUAAGGCAAGGCAGUGGAACCGUCAAGGACUAUCUGCAGAAGUUUAACCUCCUGUCGAGGUAUGCACCAGAGGAUGUCAACACUCAGGAUGCAAAAGUGGAAUGCUUUAUGGAAGGACUGCAACAGUCACUCGAGUAUCAACUGGUUGUUUGUGAAUGUCGGACCUUCUGGGAUGUGGUUAACAAGGCCCUCAUGUUGGUGGAUAAGCGUCGUGCAAUGGACGACACCCGUAAGCGCAAGCUGAUGGGUAGUGGAGGACCUAGUAACCCGAAACCACACCCAUGGCAGUCAGCUCCAGCAAGACCGAGUUAUCAACAACAACAGUACAAGGCACGAACAUUUCGCCAGAACUACCAACCUCAACAGCAAGUCAACACCAAGCCAACAUUCAACCCAUUGAAUAAUAGUAGAGGCAAUACCAACAUCCCGGGAGAGGUUACCUGUUUUGGAUGUGGACAAGCUGGGCACUAUUCCAGGCAGUGCCCCAACUAGAAGCCCCGAUGCCCCGCGCCGCAAUGCGCCCAAUCAAGGGCAUGGUCAAGGAGCACCAGGAAGGAACCAAUGUUCCAACAAUCAGAAGUACUACAGCAAGGGACGUAUUAAUCAGAUCUCCGUAGAAGAAGCACAGGAAGACGCGAACUUCAUUCUGGGGACGUUCCUCGUCAACUCCACCCGUGCAACAAUAUUGUUUGAUUGUGGUGCUUCGCAUUCUUUUGUUACACAGAAGUUUGCGGAAAAAUCUGGUUUGAAGCCUACCCUGCUUAAUGGGCAAAUGGCAGUACAUACCCCGGGAGCAGUGCUAAGGACCAACCUAGGAUGUAGAGGAGUCGGAAUCAAUAAUAAUGGAAUAAGCUUCUCAGCCGAUCUCAUCGUCAUUAAGUGGCAAGGCUUAGAAGUGAUCCUUGGGAUAUAUUGGUUGGCCAAACACCAGAGAAUCUUAGACUUUGCCAACAGGACUAUUACCAUGACAAGCGACCAAGGGGUCCAAGUCAAAUAUGUCCCUGGGCCUACAUCCACUCAAGUCCCGCAGAUAAAUUGCCUAUCGGGGGAAGAGCUGGAUCGAGUGCCGAUAGUGUGUGAAUACCCGGACGUCUUUCCUGAUGAACUGCCAGGGAUGCCUCCUGACCGUGACAUCGAGUUCAUCAUUGAGCUCAUACCCAGGUCAAGGCGUAUCUAUAAGAUGCCUUAUAGGAUGGGAUCCGAAGAGCUAGCAGAGCUGAAGAAGCAGCAGGAUGAGCAACUCAGGAAAGGGUUCACUCGUCAGAGUGCAUCACCUUAAGGAUCAGCAGUUGUGUUUGUGUCUAAGAAGGAUGUGACUAUCAGACUCUGCGUCGAUUACCGUUCUCUCUGUUAGGAAUAAUUAAUAUGUAUUAAUUAUGUAAUUAAUCAAUACUAUGUCGGUUGUUCUUUUGGCAACCACCCCUUUUGUAAACCGCCAUGUACUGGGUAUAAAUAUCCCCAAUUUCUAUCAAUGUGAGAUUACUGUUCAUUCUAUCUUUCUCCUUCUCUUCUUUUACUCUUCACACGUUAUCAACACACUCUUCAUCUGAGCGAUUUCGAGAUCGAGAAGAACCCAAGGGAAAAAAACAGGCAAAAGGUAAGAAGAAAACCAGUCGCCCAUGGCGCUGGAUGUGGCCUUCAUGCCGCAGGACGCAUCCACGCUAGCCUCCACCGAGAGCAGAUGCCACUCCGGCGAUCUGCAAUUGCCCCUAAAGAUGGCGGGAGAAGUUGGUUGCUGAAGGUUCGGACACCAGACGAUUCACGACAAAGAUGAGAAUCGAUCAAUCGUGAACUACAAACAAAAGACCAGAAGAAGAAAAAGGCCCAGCCUGGGAGGAUCAUACCUUCGUCGUCCUCGUCAUUGCACGCGCGUGGAUGCGAACUCCGGCAUAGGCAUGACUUUCGGUUUUCUGCCUCAAGUGAAGAAACGGGUGGCGGCAUCCAGUUACUACUCCUUCUAGUCACCCUUCCUCAAGAACGGUGGGUGGUGGCCCCCACCUCGGCCCCGUCGCGGUGAACGACGACUCCAAGCAGGAUGGCGCGUGGCGCACAUCUUACAGCCCCUCCACCCUUGCCCCUCCCAGCAAGGAGACUACGCCACUACUGCAAGGAGAAUCCUCCAGCGUCUCACAGAGGCGGCUGUACCAGUGUAGAAAAGGAGCAAUCAAGGAAUCAAUUGAUUCCAG
Molecule: long non-coding RNA, 30451 nt
Filed under: Hordeum vulgare
Lineage: Eukaryota; Viridiplantae; Streptophyta; Magnoliopsida; Poales; Poaceae
Description: long non-coding RNA (HVUL_LNC019212)
Source: RNAcentral